RNAcentral lists this long non-coding RNA (566 nucleotides) under Androctonus crassicauda. The record is from RNAcentral. Lineage: Eukaryota; Metazoa; Arthropoda; Arachnida; Scorpiones; Buthidae.
GUGGGCAUCGGGAGCAGACGAUGGUAAGUAAAUGAUCUAAUCAUUUCUCUUUAUAAAAAAAUAACUUUAUGUAUGUGUUUGAAUGCAUACUCAGCUUGGACGGUUACCGACUAAACUGUUAGUCACAAUGGCUAGUUUAGCUAGAUUUAGUGUGAUGUCUAGGUUAUUAAAGUGUUUCCCGUGCAAAAACAUGCUGCAUGAUUUUAAAAUCCAGAUGUUUGAUGCACUGCAAGUGAUUGUCAUGUUGUCGUGGGCGCCGCCAUCAUCGAAGAUGGCGAUCGUUGAUGGCGUCUGUCCGCCAUUUUGGAUUGCCCGUACACAAAAAGUACAAUGAUGAGGAUGGACGGUUGUGUUUAUCCUGCUUGUUACGUGUGAAAUUAUUCUAUGUCUUAUCUCUUUUAGUACGAAAUUCGAUCAAUAAUAGAGUUUCUUAAACACACUUUUAAUCGCUUAUAUUUCUAUGAAAUUUUUUGAUUAGCUUAUUAUUAUUAACUAAUAUAAUAUUCAUUCAUAACAAUUUUGAUUUAAAUUAAUUAUUCACAAUUAAUAAAUCUGAUAUUUUCUGU